UUAGAUACCCUGGUAGUCCACGCCGUAAACGAUGGAUACUAGGUGUGGGGGGACUGACCCCCUCCGUGCCGCAGCUAACGCAAUAAGUAUCCCACCUGGGGAGUACGAUCGCAAGGUUGAAACUCAAAGGAAUUGACGGGGGCCCGCACAAGCGGUGGAGUAUGUGGUUUAAUUCGACGCAACGCGAAGAACCUUACCAGGGCUUGACAUCCUACUAACGAACCAGAGAUGGAUUANGUGCCCUUCGGGGAAAGUAGAGACAGGUGGUGCAUGGUUGUCGUCAGCUCGUGUCGUGAGAUGUUGGGUUAAGUCCCGCAACGAGCGCAACCCCUAUUGUUAGUUGCUACGCAAGAGCACUCUAGCGAGACUGCCGUUGACAAAACGGAGGAAGGUGGGGACGACGUCAAAUCAUCAUGCCCCUUACGUCCUGNGCCACACACGUACUACAAUGGCGGCCAACAAAGAGAGGCAAAGCCGCGAAGUGGAGCAAAUCUCANAAAGCCGUCCCAGUUCGGAUCGCANGCUGCAACCCGCCUGCGUGAAGUUGGAAUCGCUAGUAAUCGCGGAUCAGCAUGCCCGCGGUGAAUACGUUUCCGGGCCUUGUACACACCGGCCCGUCACACCAUGAAAGUCGGGGAACACCCCGAAAUCCGUAACCCUAACCGCAAAGGGGGGCCCGGCCCGAAGGGGGGGUUCGAUAUUUGGGGUGAAAUUCGAACAAGGGUAGCCCAAUUCCAACCACUUCCCGGCGUUCUAAUGGAUUCCAACUCCGUACAAACUUGGCGAAUCCUGCCCUAACUGGUUCCCGGGAAAAUGUUAACCCUCAA
Molecule: ribosomal RNA, 827 nt
Filed under: uncultured bacterium
Lineage: Bacteria
Description: bacterial SSU rRNA
Rfam family: Bacterial small subunit ribosomal RNA (bases 1-739)
Source: RNAcentral